This 468-nucleotide ribosomal RNA is filed under the name uncultured bacterium. Its description in RNAcentral is "partial 16S ribosomal RNA". It matches the Rfam family "Bacterial small subunit ribosomal RNA", at positions 28 to 507 of the family's 1533-position model. The record is from RNAcentral.
GACGAACGCUGGCGGCGUGCUUAACACAUGCAAGUCGAACGGAAAGGCCCUGCUUUUGUGGGGUGCUCGAGUGGCGAACGGGUGAGUAACACGUGAGUAACCCGCCCUUGACUUUGGGAUAACUUCAGGAAACUGGGGCUAAUACCGGAUAGGAGCUCCUGCUGCAUGGUGGGGGUUGGAAAGUUUUGGCGGUUGGGGAUGGACUCGCGGCUUAUCAGCUUGUUGGUGGGGUAGUGGCUUACCAAGGCUUUGACGGGUAGCCGGCCUGAGUGGGUGACCGGCCACAUUGGGACUGAGAUACGGCGCAGACUCCUACGUGAGGCAGCAGUGGGAAAUAUUGCGCAAUGGGCGGAAGCCUGAUGCAGCAGCGCCGCGUGCGGGAUGAUGGCCUUCGGGUGGUAAACUACUUUCGCAUGUGACGAACCGUGAGUGACGGUAAUGGGUUAAGAAGCACCGGCUAACUACGUG